UCGAUCUAGAACAGAAAGCAACGUCCUCUUGAGUUUUGGGCGAUUUUAAGCGAAAUUCGUAAUGUGAAAAGGGCGUUUUUUGAUGUCAUUGUUGUGAAAUGAAUUCCCAUUCCGUUAAUAAAUGGUCUUGUUUGGAUUUCAAAAUAUAGACGAGAGCUAACAAAUGUCAUGCAUUUUCAGGUGCCUAUUUGAAUUUCCAAGAGAAAUCUCCAAUUAGAAGUUGUUCCUUGGAUUCCAGUGAGCAGAAGGUGCAUCUACGUAAAAUGCUGCGAUCGAUGAUACAAAUAAUCUGUUUGAAAGCAAUUUACUUUCAUUGAAGACUGAAGUUGAAUAUCAGCAGAGUUUUCGCGAACGUAUUUCAAUACCUACCUACUUAUGCUGUUGAACAAUGCCUAUUUACUAUUUUUGGGCAUAAAAAAUUCAAUAUUAAUACCUCAAGUCUCCGGACCACAAAUUCAAUUCAAAUUAAUUUUGAAUCAAGAAUAAUAAGAAAAUGAUUUAUUCAACAAUUCAGG
Molecule: long non-coding RNA, 515 nt
Organism: Planococcus citri (citrus mealybug)
Lineage: Eukaryota; Metazoa; Arthropoda; Insecta; Hemiptera; Pseudococcidae
Exons: 3
Source: RefSeq, a predicted model, not a curated record